UGGCUUGAACUCUGGAGGUGAAGGUUGCAGUGAGCUGAGAUCAUGCCACUGCACUCCAACCUGGGUGACAGAGCCAGACUCUGUCUCAAAAAAAAAAAAAAGUACUGAUUGCCAAACAAGGCUUAGAUCUAGGCUGGCUAAUACUCGAAUCUUCUGUUUAAUUAACAACCUACCCAGUAGAGGCCUCCCAAUCCAGAGCUGAUAACAGGCUGCCAGAAAUAGCAACUCUGCGAAGGCUGAGCCUCCGUGCUUCAUUUUCUUUUCUUGUUUCUCCCAAUUUCAACAAUCAAGAAAACUUAGCUUCCUCUUUCAGAUAAAUGUAAAGGGUGGGACAGAGAGAAAGACCUUGGAAGACAUUCUCUCAUACUUCUACCCAAUGGGAAUAAGUACUCCCCCUUCUACAGAAAUGAGAAGGGACAAGCUUCCCCUCAUCACAACUAACUGUAGUGAAAACAUGGUUGAAAAGUGAAGAUUACAUGGCUCCAAGGCAUGAGGGGUAGCCUCCUUCGGGUGGGCCUAAGCUGGCAUCAUUAGGACUUCCAGAGGAAAUGGCAGGGUAUUUGCAGGAUGAUAAUUCUUUGUUAGUCCUAAAACUUCAAAAUAAACAGCAGCAAAGAAGUCUCUGCAGUGCUCAUUAAAUAAUGCUUGAUAAAGUUUGUGACGAUAGGAGAUACUGGGAAUCUUGAUCUACAGAUCCUAUCUCAGUCUUUUGGAUCGGUAUUAUAGGAAACAUGAAUGGAUGCAUUCCCAAAGACCCCCCCUUGGCCUCCUUAAUUUGCAGGGAAGUGUAUUGAGAGGAUGUGUGGGCAGUCAAGGGGAGACAAAUCCAAAGAGCUCCUUCUAGAACAUAAGUCCUCCCUUGUUUUCAUAGAGAGUGAGUGACUCAUCAUAAAAGGGAAGAACCACCAGGACUCAGUUUUGUUUUUCUCUGUUUGGGAAGAAGAUGGGAAAAAGCCAGAGGUAGUAGGUUCCAACCAUAAGCUGAGACUUUACAGAAGGAAAAGAGAAGAAAUAAGACAAAGAUGCUGGAGAAAAAAAAUUUAGUGGUGUCUUCUUUCUGAAGAAAGCAGGUGUCUGCUAAUCCCUGAAUUGGGAGAAAGAAUCUGAAAUUCAUAACUAUGCCCCAUAGGUAGAGGGUAAAUUUCUAACUGGGAGAGUGAACCAAGUGGGGAGAUUUAGAACAUCAUUACAGAAGAAGAAAACAGAACCAAUCCAGUAAUCAUGAUUGAUUCAGCCUCCAACCAGCUUGCUGUCUCCCUUAGAUGAUAGAAUGCAGAGUCUAGUCGAGAAUAACUUAGCAUAUAGUUUGUUUUGUUUGUUUGUUUGUUUGCUUGCUUGUUUUUGAGACAGAGUCUCACCCUGUUGCCCAGGCUGGAGUGCAGUGGCUCAAUCUUGGCUCACUGCAAACUCCACCUCCCGGGUUCAAGCAAUUAUCUUGCCUCAGUCUCCUGAGUAGCUGGGAUUACAGGCACGCGCCACCAUACCCGGCUAAUUUUUGUAUUUUUAGUUGAGACGGGGUUUCACCAUGUUGAUCAGGCUGGUCUUGAACUCCUGACCUCGUGAUCCACCCGCCUGAGCCUCCCAAAGUGCUGAGAUUACAGGCAUGAGCCACCAUGCCCGGCCUAGCAUAUAGAUUUUAAACCAAAUGGAGUCUAUAAAUAUGGCCCAGAUGAAGGGGCACAGAGAGCCACUGAGAAUCCACAUACACCAUAUCUAGACCCAAAGAAAGUCUGUAUAGAUCUGUCCCCAUCAAAUAGCAAUCCAAAAAGGAACUUGGAAAAACAUUUUGAGGUCAAUCCAGCAACAUCUGUCAAAAUUUUAAGUGUUCACAUCUUUGAACUCUAUUUCAAGGAGGUUAUCCUGCAGACAUCCUUGCACAAGUAAGCAAAGGUAACUGUAAAGGUAUUGCCUUGUUUGUAGCAGAAAUUAUUUAAAUAAGUAAUAGUAUAUCCAUAAAACAGAAUGUUAUCAACCAUAAGACACGUUAAGCAAAUCUCUAUGUAGAAAAAGCAAGGAGAAAUAUUGUAUAUUCUCAAGUGAGAAAAAUCAAGUGGCAUGAGUAUUCUAUGAUUUCAUUUAAGCAAAACUAUAUACGACUGUUCGUAGAGAACAUCUAGAAAGCUUCUUUCACGCAGCUCUGUGCUUUUUGAUUACUUUUUUAAAAAUGUAAAAAACUUAUUACCUUUAUUAAAAGAUAUUUUAAGUGGACUGUAUCAAUAUAUUAAAAAACUCUAAAACUAUAAGUAAUACUCAUAUUUUUAAUUUAAUUUUUCAUAAAUAUAGCAUUUAUUCUAAUUUUACUAUUAAUUUAACUUUUGAACUAUGACUUACAAUUGUGCUAUUAGCUCAUUCCAACCUAGUUCUCAUUUAGUAUCUUCUGGUUUAUAGCAUAUUCCUUGUUUCUUCACAUUGUUUUCUUAUUUUAAGAAUUACUUUUGUAAAGGCAGUAUAUUCAGCUCUUUUAAUCAUUUGUGUUUGAUUUGGGAAGUGAUUAAUUCCCGACUUUUUAUAUAUAAAAGAGAUUAAUAUCUUCAGUAUGGUUUCAAGAUUUUGUAACUUCCACAUAAAUAAUAAAGUUUAAUUCAUUUAAUAAACAUUUAAAGUCUAUGUGAUGUAAUUUUAAUGUUGAAAUUUCAACACAAAAAUGUCAGUAACACAGAAUGUAAAUCUCUUAUGUUUUCAGAAAAGGAAUUAAAAUUACUUUAAACAAGAAAAAAAGAUUAUAUUUGAGCCCACUCCCUUUUUUCAAAUCUUGGUCUCCUGGGUAAUGUGAAUAUCACAUAUCUUUCUAUGAAGUUUUUUGUACUCUUCUAAGGGAAAUUUGAAUUAAUAAAAUUAUAUUUCUCUGCUCUAUUGGAUAUUCUUUGUUUUGCAAGAAAGAAAAAUCAGGAGUUAAAGGCAUCUCGAAGCACAUUCAAAUUCAGUCUCUAAUUAUUAUUAUCACUAAAGUUAUUUUUUUCUUUUGAUGAACUUUUUAUAUAACUGGAAAUCUAAGAAUAUAAUUUCUGUUGUUAAAGCUCUAAAAGAAAUCCCAGCCAGGUGUGGUGUCUCAUGCCUGUAAUACUAGCACUUUGGGAGGCCAAGGGGGGAGAAUUGCUUGAGCCCAGGAGUUUGAGACCAGCCUGGGCAAUACAGGGAGACUCCAUCUCUACAAAAAAUAAUUAACUGGGCAUGAUGAUGUGCACCUGUAAUCCCAGCUUCUCCUGAGGCUGUGGUGGGAGGAUCACUUGAGCUCAGGAGGUUGAGGCUACAGUGAUCUGUGAUUAUGUCAUUGCACUCCAGCUGGGCAACAAAGCAAGA
Molecule: long non-coding RNA, 3300 nt
Filed under: Homo sapiens (human)
Lineage: Eukaryota; Metazoa; Chordata; Mammalia; Primates; Hominidae
Description: HSALNT0033023
Source: RNAcentral